Molecule: ribosomal RNA, 253 nt
Filed under: uncultured bacterium
Lineage: Bacteria
Description: partial 16S ribosomal RNA
Rfam family: Bacterial small subunit ribosomal RNA
Source: RNAcentral
GACGGAGGGUGCAAGCGUUAUUCGGAGUUACUGGGCGUAAAGCGUGCGCAGGCGGUUCUGUAAGUGGCUUGUGAAAGCGCCCGGCUAAACCGGGCGAGGACGGGUCAGACUGCAGGGCUGGGAUGGAACAGAGGGCUGUGGAAUUCCGGGUGUAGCGGUGAAAUGUGCAGAGAUCCGGAGGAACACCAGAGGUGAAGACGGCGGCCUGGGGUCCAAUCGACGCUGAGGCACGAAAGCGUGGGGAGCGAACGGG